RNAcentral lists this long non-coding RNA (1863 nucleotides) under Ursus maritimus (polar bear). RNAcentral's name for it is "lncRNA (ENSUMAG00000023828.1)". The record is from RNAcentral. Lineage: Eukaryota; Metazoa; Chordata; Mammalia; Carnivora; Ursidae.
UCUUUUUUUUUUUUUUUAAGAUUUUAUUUAUUUAUGUGACAGAGAGACAGCCAGCGAGAGAGGGAACACAGCAGGGGGAGUGGGAGAGGAAGAAGCAGGCUCACAGCAGAGGAGCCCGAUGUGGGACUCGAUCCCGGUACGCCGGGACCACGCCCUGAGCCGAAGGCAGACGCUUUAACGACUGCGCUACCCAGGCGCCCCUCUAAUUAGUGUCUUGAUACAAGAGCCCUUAUUACCGUGUCACAGAUUCGUGGAGGGGAGGGGCGGCUUUAAAUACACUGAUAGCUGGAUUUCAGGAUAAUUGGCCCCCUUGUCAUCUUGUGGGUUUUACUGUGUGCAUUUAAAGGCAUGAUUCUAGGAAGGGGUCGAUGGAGUGAAAAAGCCUCAUUUUAUUUUUAUUUUAGUCUUAUUAAGAUUUUAUUUAUUUGAGAGAGAGAGACAGGGAGAGAGCGAUUGAGCAGGGGGAGGGGCAGAGGGAGAGGGAGAAGCAGGCUCCCCAUUGAGUAGGGAUCCCAAUGCGGGGCUGGAUCCCAGGACCCUGAGAUCGUGACCUGAGCGGAAGGCAGAUGCUUCACCGACUGAGCCCCCAGGCGCCCUGGACAACCUGCCUCUUUAAACAUCCUUUGAGCUCCCAGUUACUGGGGCUACUGUUUUGUCUUGCUGUGUUGCCGAUCUCUGAAUCAGGGAGUCUCCGUGUGACAAGUCUCCCUGUGUCCUUACAGCCCUCUCCCCAAGGCACAAGCUGACNNNNNNNNNNUGUAGCUCUCUCCCUCCCCAGCAGUCAAAACCGGGUGAAGAAAUUCUGGCACAUUCUACAACAUGAAUGAGCCUCGGAGACAUCAUGCCAAGUGGAAUAAGCCAGUCACAAGAGAACAGAUACUGUACGACCCCACUGCGGAGGUGCUGAGAGCAGUCGGGUCCAUCCAGACGGAAAGCAGAACGCUGGCGGGCAGGGCUGGAGGAGCGGAGCGGGCGUCAGUGUGUAAGCGUUUAGAGCUUCAAGUUCGGAGGAGAGCUGGUGGUGUUUGCACAACGUGCAGGAAGGAUUUAUUUCCUUCAGAGAGAGUGAGAGAGCCAGGUGCACAAGCAGGAGGGGCAGAGAGAGAGAGAGAAUCUCAGGAAGACUCCCCGCUGAGCAUGGAGCCCAAUGUGGUGCCUGAUCUCACGGCCACGAGAUCACGACCCAAGCUGAAACCAAGAGUCGGCGGCUUAACCGACUGAGGCAGCCAGGCGCCCCAAAUCUGUUCUUUGAAGCCACCCGUUUCCACAGCCUGCUUGACUGCUCUUCCUCUCCAUCUAAUGCUGUUCACAUCCCCAGGAGAUCCUCAUUCUUCGUGGAUGCCCUUAUCUGUGAAUUCCUCUGCUUGUUUAAAUUUAUUUGUAACCCUCCAAACUCGAAGCACCUUCACAGACAUGCGCAGAGCGGGAAAAAAAUCUGGGUCAUCCAACGUGCAUGUUUCCAACUGAAGUUGAGGAAAGCAAUGCUCUGCCCCGACAGUUUCAGCGCUCACACCCGACAAGCGUCCUUUUCAAGGUCUGUUUCCCGCCAUGGUUUCGCAUUUUUGUGAUUUUGCUGGUGACGUCACUGUUUUAAAUGCCCUAGUGCUGAAAUGCGGUCCGGUGUGCCAAAGGGGAAGAAGGCUGGGGUGUGCCUCAUAUAGAACAUAUGUGUUAGGGGCGCCUGGGGGGCUCAGUUGGUUAAGCGUCUGCUCUCAGCUCAGGUCAUGAUCCCAGGGUCCUGAUUGAGCCCCCAUCUGGCUCCCUGCUCAGCGGGGAAGUCUGCUUCUCUGACUGCUCUGCCUGCCGCUCCCCCUGCUUGUGCGCACUCUCUGACAAAUAAAUAAAAUCUUCAAAAAAAACCCA